AAAAAGUUUUAUUUUAGCUUUGAAUUUGGCUUUAAACUUUGUACAUAUGUAAAUUUUGUUUAAAAAGAUUGUUUGCAGUGUAAAAUCUUAAAUAUUAAAGUAAUUUAGAUUUAGGAAUGUGGUUUAACACGAACAAAAUUUGUGCCAGCAGUUGCGGUUAUACAAAUUGUGUGGGUCAAGUCUAUUUGAAUCGGUUAAGAGGGAUUUUUUAACUAACUAGGGCGUUUUUUAGGUGGAAUUUUAAAUGCUUGUUUGUUACAGAAUGGUUUCUGAGGCUGGGAAAUUUUAUAUUUAGACUAGGAUUAGAUACCCUAUUAUUUAAAGUGUAGAUUAUUUUCAAAAUUAGUAUUAGUUACGUUCUUGAAAAUUAAAAAUUUUGGCGGUAUUUUAGUCAUUUCAGAGGAACCUGUUUUAUAAACGAUACUCCACGAUUAAAUAUACCUAAAUUUUUAAUUUGUAUAUCGCCGUGGUUUGAAUAUUCUAUUAGGAUUUUAAUAUUCAGGAUUUUUUAUUAAAUAAGAAUUCAGGUCAAGGUGCAGUUUAUGUUUAGGUAAAAAUGGGUUACAUUACUAUAGGGUUUGGUUCCUAAAUUUUAAAUUUAGGUUAAAUUGGAUUUGAAAGUAAUUUUUUUUAUAUAGAAAUAAUGAUUUUGCUCUAAAAUAUGCACAUAUCGCCCGUCGCUUUCGUUUAAAAUGAAAUAAGUCGUAACAAAGUAGACUUAUUGGAAAAUGAGUCUGGAAUGAC
RNAcentral lists this non-coding RNA (744 nucleotides) under Tenebrionoidea sp. 1 KM-2017. Lineage: Eukaryota; Metazoa; Arthropoda; Insecta; Coleoptera. The record is from RNAcentral.